AUUUUUCUUCCUUGAAUUUUGACGAAAUUAAACUUUAGGGAAUAAAGUGUUGAAUUCAAAAAAUAUAGAAGCAAAUAUGUUAAUAUGUAAUAUUUUAGGGACGAAAACGUAUUCUUUCCUUCAAUUCUUUGAGAGAGGGAUCUAUAAAUUUGUAAGAAUUAAAUUUUAGGGACUGAAGUGCUGGGUUCUAGAAAGGGUAGUUCGGUCUUUUUUUUGUCACUGACGAGAUUUUUGACAGAGAGACCUCUAAUUUUGACGGAAUUAAACCUCAAGGAUGAAAGUGUUGAGCUUUA
This 293-nucleotide long non-coding RNA is filed under the name Manihot esculenta (cassava). RNAcentral describes it as "long non-coding RNA (MESC_LNC012437)". Lineage: Eukaryota; Viridiplantae; Streptophyta; Magnoliopsida; Malpighiales; Euphorbiaceae. The record is from RNAcentral.